Long non-coding RNA from Cavia porcellus (domestic guinea pig), 1131 nucleotides. RefSeq lists it as uncharacterized. The record is from RefSeq and is a predicted model, not a curated record. NCBI's taxonomy places the organism in Eukaryota, Metazoa, Chordata, Mammalia, Rodentia, Caviidae. The transcript has 4 exons.
GGAAGAUCCAAAUACUGAGCUCGGCGGGAACACCCGGGUUUUGCAGUGGCAGCUAUGCAAAACUGCGUAACCUAGUUUAUUACCCAAGUCUUGUUUCCUCAGCGAGAUUCCAUGAGUAUUGCAGACUCGCGCCAGUUUCUCAUCCCUGCGGAUAAAUGGCCUUGACACCCUCGCUGGGACCGAGUGCCCUGAAUGUGCUUCUCAACCUCUCAUGCACUGUGCACAGGUGGCAGUUAAUGUCUUCAAGAGAACCAACUCCCCAAAGUCUUCUACAUCCAGACAGAUACUUGCAUUUUCUCUUCUUUAAGCCCUUGAGCUCCUGCCAAAAUCUGCUUGAGUCUGUUCAUCUAAGAAGAUGAAGCCUCACCGUAUUUCUACGUAGCAUUUUUGUCGUGAUGCAGGCGUACACAGAGCUGUGGGGAGCACCAUUCUGUCCCAAGAUGGAUAUGGAGAUUGGCUGCCAUCCUGUUCAGCCGGCUCCAGAGCAGACAGGGCUUCACCAUGUAGUUCAGGCUGGCCUUGAACUCACAGUGAUCCUCCUGCUUCAGCCUCCUGAGUGCUGAGAUUACCAGUAUGCAUCACCACUCCUGGCAGUGUAUUACCUUUCCUUGACCAUAACUCUGUUUUGACAUGCUUUCUCGCAUACACAGUCCAUCUAGGAUGAAAGACCAAAUAAAAGAGAUUACUCGAUACUUGUUAUAAAAUAUUAAUCUAGUUCUUAGUUUGGGGGCUGGGGGUUUAGCUCAGUGGUGUACAUGCCUGCCUAGCAAGCAUGAGGUCACGAGUUCAAUCCCCAGUACCAGAAAAAACAAAUAAAUAAGUAAAUCUUAGUUUGAAUAAAAGAGUACGACUGUCUAAACACUUCAUGGUGGUCCUGAUGAGUCCUAAAUCUGCUGUGUUGCUGUAUGAGAAAUAUGAAUUAAAAAGCCCUGUUUGCAUUGUUAUUUGUUUUGCUUUUCAUUUAGGUCAUGACACAGUCGGUGAAGAAGAUACAUUACAAUGUCUAUUUGCUGAAUUUGAUAAAAUGUGCCUGUGGGUUUUUGUGAACUUUAAUAUGCAACUUAUUGCCUAAGAGCCACAGAACUCUUUUUGUUUAACUUAAUAAAAUCCUCUGGAUGCAGGUUAACUUCC